UAAAGUAAGAAAGAGCGUAUGGCGGAUGCCUAGGCACAGAGAGGCGAAGAAGGACGCAGCAAACAGCGAAAUGCGACGGUUAGCAGUAAGCAUGCAACGAUCCGUCGAUGUCCGAAUGGGGGAACCCACCUGGAGUAGAGACCAGGUAUCCUGAAGUGAAUAAAUAGCUUCAGAGAGGCGAGACUCAGGGAACUGAAACAUCUAAGUACCUGAAGGAAGAGAAAAUAAACGAAUGAUUCCCUAAGUAGCGGCGAGCGAAAGGGGAAGAGCCCAAACCGAUCUUAGGAUCGGGGUUGUAGGACUGUCGGCAAAGAGCAAGAAAUCAUUAUAGGCGAACGGAAUGGGAAGUCCGGCGAAACAGGGUGACAGCCCCGUAGCCGAAAUAGUGAAGAAGCACGAGACAGCACCUGAGUACGGCGGGACACGAGGAAUCCUGUCGGAAUCCACCAGGACCAUCUGGUAAGGCUAAAUACUCCUCUGUGACCGAUAGUGAACCAGUACCGUGAGGGAAAGGUGAAAAGAACCCCGGGAGGGGAGUGAAAUAGAACCUGAAACCCUGCACUUACAAGCUGUGGGAGCACAUUACUUGUGUGACCGCGUACUUUUUGUAGAACGGGCCAACGAGUUACGUUAAGUAGCAAGGUUAAGCACUUAAGGUGUGGAGCCGUAGCGAAAGCGAGUCUUAAAUGGGCGAUUAAGUUACUUGGCGUAGACCCGAAACCGGGCGACCUAUCCAUGAGCAGGUUGAAGCGAAAGUAAAAUUUCGUGGAGGACCGAACCCACGAGCGUUGAAAAGCUCGGGGAUGACUUGUGGAUAGCGGUGAAAUUCCAAUCGAGCCCGGAGAUAGCUGGUUCUCCCCGAAAUAGCUUUAGGGCUAGCCUCAAGCGUAGAGAAACGGAGGUAGAGCACUGAAUGUCCUAGGGGGUAUUGCACUUACCGAAGACUAUCAAACUCCGAAUGCCGUUUUCUUUUACUUGGGAGUCAGACUGUGGGUGAUAAGAUUCAUAGUCAAAAGGGCAACAGCCCAGAUCGUCAGCUAAGGUCCCUAAAUGUACGUUAAGUGGUAAAGGAUGUGGGAUUGCACAGACAACCAGGAUGUUGGCUUAGAAGCAGCCACUCAUUUAAAGAGUGCGUAAUAGCUCACUGGUCGAGUGAUCCUGCGCCGAAAAUUUCCGGGGCUAAAACGUACUACCGAAGCUACGGCAUCAUUUAUGAUGGGUAGGGGAGCUUCGUAUGCAGGCUGAAGCAUGACCGUAAGGACAUGUGGACAGUAUACGAGUGAGAAUGUUGGCAUGAGUAGCGAGACGUGGGUGAGAAUCCCACGGGCCGUAAACCCAAGGUUUCCAGGGGAAGGUUCGUCCGCCCUGGGUUAGUCGGGACCUAAGCCGAGGCCGAAAGGCGUAGGUGAUGGACAACAGGUUGAUAUUCCUGUACCGCCAAUAAGCGUUUGAGAGAUGGAGUGACACAGUAGGAUAAGCUAACCGUACUGUUGGUUAUGUACGGCUAAGCAUUGAGGCAGUCUAAAUAGGCAAAUCCGUUUAGACAAUGCUAGGAUGUGAUGGGGAAGCCCUUCGGGGCGAAGUAGCUGAUUUCACACUGUCAAGAAAAGCUUCUAUCGAGUUUAAAGGCGCCCGUACCGUAAACCGACACAGGUGGGUGAGGAGAGUAUCCUAAGGCCAGCGAGAGAACUAUUGUUAAGGAACUCGGCAAAAUGACCCCGUAACUUAGGGAGAAGGGGUGCCUGUCUAUGACAGGCCGCAGAGAAUAGGCCCAAGCGACUGUUUACCAAAAACACAGGUUUCUGCUAAGUCGCAAGACGAUGUAUAGGAGCUGACGCCUGCCCGGUGCUGGAAGGUUAAGGGGAUCUGUUAGAGCAAUCGAAGCAGUGAACUUAAGCCCCAGUAAACGGCGGCCGUAACUAUAACGGUCCUAAGGUAGCGAAAUUCCUUGUCGGGUAAGUUCCGACCCGCACGAAAGGCGUAACGAUUUGGGCACUGUCUCAACAAUAGACUCGGUGAAAUUGUAAUCCCGGUGAAGAUGCCGGGUACCUGCGACAGGACGGAAAGACCCCAUGGAGCUUUACUGUAGCUUGACGUUGGGUCUUGGUACUACAUGUACAGGAUAGGUGGGAGACUAUGAAGCAUGGACGCCAGUCUGUGUGGAGUCAUCCUUGGGAUACCACCCUUGUAGUACUGGGAUCCUAACCAUAGGCCUUGAAUCAGGUCUUGGAACACCGUCAGGUGGGCAGUUUGACUGGGGCGGUCGCCUCCUAAAAAGUAACGGAGGCGCUCAAAGGUUUCCUCAGCACGGUCGGAAAUCGUGCGAAGAGUGUAAAGGCAAAAGUCUUGCGCACAUCGGCGCCCGGCGCUGCGGCCAUCGGCUGAAUGGUGCCGUCGCCCAACUGGGUGUACACAGUGUCCAGCUUCUUUUGCAGCUCCUCCUUUUUCUCACUGUCCGGCAAGCUGCAGGUAAUGGCCUUGUUGGCGCAACCGGCAUUGUAAAUGGACGCACCCUUAAAGUCCUUUAAGCAAGCAGCCGCUGCAGUGCCGUAUUCCUUCACCACAGAAUAGGCGGCGCCUUCCUCGUUAAAACCGGAGCCGAUCACAGUCACAUCGUUAAGAUCAAAAGCAUUUUUCGCCGUGUAGAGAGAAGCGGACUUAUCGCACCCGCCGGCAAAGAGUGCCUUG
This 2688-nucleotide ribosomal RNA is filed under the name human gut metagenome. Its description in RNAcentral is "bacterial LSU rRNA". It matches the Rfam family "Bacterial large subunit ribosomal RNA", at positions 1 to 2441 of the family's 2925-position model. The record is from RNAcentral.